RNAcentral lists this ribosomal RNA (116 nucleotides) under Verrucomicrobiota bacterium. The record is from RNAcentral. Lineage: Bacteria; Pseudomonadati; Verrucomicrobiota.
UCUGGUGACCCGAGCGCGGUGGCCCCACCCGUUUCCAUUCCGAACACGGCCGUGAAACGCCGCAGCCCCGAUGGUAGUGCCGCGUGAGGCGGUGCGAGAGUAGGCCGUUGCCAGAA